CCUAAUACAUGCAAGUCGAGCGGAGAAAUGGGAGCUUGCUCCCAUUUCUCAGCGGCGGACGGGUGAGUAACACGUGGGCAACCUGCCCUACAGACUGGGAUAACUCCGGGAAACCGGAGCUAAUACCGGGUAAUACAUAGCAUCGCAUGAUGCAACGUUGAAAGUUGGCCUUUGGCUAACACUGUAGGAUUGGCCCGCGGCGCAUUAGCUAGUUGGUAAGGUAACGGCUUACCAAGGCCACGAGGCGCAGGUGACCUGAGAGGGUGAUCGGCCACACUGGGACUGAGACACGGCCCAGACUCCUACGGGAGGCAGCAGUAGGGAAUCUUCCGCAAUGGACGAAAGUCUGACGGAGCAACGCCGCGUGAGUGACGAAGGCCUUCGGGUCGUAAAGCUCUGUUGUUAGGGAAGAACAAGUACCGUUCGAAUAGGGCGGUACCUUGACGGUACCUAACCAGAAAGCCACGGCUAACUACGUGCCAGCAGCCGCGGUAAUAC
RNAcentral lists this ribosomal RNA (498 nucleotides) under uncultured marine bacterium. RNAcentral describes it as "bacterial SSU rRNA". It matches the Rfam family "Bacterial small subunit ribosomal RNA", at positions 47 to 526 of the family's 1533-position model. The record is from RNAcentral.